GACGAACGCUGGCGGCGUGCUUAACACAUGCAAGUCGAACGGAAAGGCCCUGCUUUUGUGGGGUGCUCGUGUGGCGAACGGGUGAGUAACACGUGAGUAACCUGCCCUUGACUUUGGGAUAACUUCAGGAAACUGGGGCUAAUACCGGAUAGGAGCUCCUGCUGCAUGGUGGGGGUUGGAAAGUUUCGGCGGUUGGGGAUGGACUCGCGGCUUGUCAGCUUGUUGGUGGGGUAGUGGCUUACCAAGGCUUUGACGGGUAGCCGGCCUGAGAGGGUGACCGGCCACAUUGGGACUGAGAUACGGCCCAGACUCCUACGGGAGGCAGCAGUGGGGAAUAUUGCACAAUGGGCGGAAGCCUGAUGCAGCAACGCCGCGUGCGGGAUGACGGCCUUCGGGUUGUAAACCGCUUUCGCCUGUGACGAAGCGUGAGUGACGGUAAUGGGUAAAGAAGCACCGGCUAACUACGUG
RNAcentral lists this ribosomal RNA (468 nucleotides) under uncultured bacterium. Its description in RNAcentral is "partial 16S ribosomal RNA". It matches the Rfam family "Bacterial small subunit ribosomal RNA", at positions 28 to 507 of the family's 1533-position model. The record is from RNAcentral.